UUGUGGAGGAGGACGCCGAAGGUGGGGCUAAUGACUGGGGUGAAGUCGUAACAAGGUAGCCGUACCGGAAGGUGCGGCUGGAUCACCUCCUAACAGGGAGACAACAAAAUGUUUAAUAUUAUUAUUUUGUCACCUUAGGUCGAUCGGUAUCUCACGUUCUUAAUUCGUUAAGAAUUUCAUUUCCUAAGUUUUUCUAGGUCACACCCAUUAUUUUUCCUGGGCCAUUAGCUCAGGUGGUUAGAGCGCACCCCUGAUAAGGGUGAGGUCCCUGGUUCAAGUCCAGGAUGGCCCAUAUCUCUAUGUUGGGGGUAUAGCUCAGUUGGUAGAGCGCCUGCUUUGCAAGCAGGAUGUCAGCGGUUCGAGUCCGCUUACCCCCACUGAUUACCACCUCUUCCAUAACCGAUAGAAAGGAAAUGUUUUGAGUUGUGAUCAUUAUUCUGAACGAAUCUAGCUUCCUAAUGAAAUCAUUAAGAUGCUGGACUCAUUGAAUUAAUUUUCAUUGUUUUCAGAGAACCUUGACAACUGCAUAGAUUAUUUUUAAAGACAAUAAGCAUCUUUAAUGAUGCAGAUUUAUUAUUUGUGCGAAUGCAUUAAUAACAAUUCUAUUAAGCUGAUGCUUCAAUUUUGAAGUUAUUGGUCAAGCUACAA
RNAcentral lists this unclassified non-coding RNA (648 nucleotides) under uncultured Prochlorococcus sp. RNAcentral's name for it is "partial 16S-23S ribosomal RNA intergenic spacer; may also contain 16S ribosomal RNA and 23S ribosomal RNA". The stretch from base 305 to 377 matches the Rfam family "tRNA". The record is from RNAcentral. Lineage: Bacteria; Bacillati; Cyanobacteriota; Cyanophyceae; Synechococcales; Prochlorococcaceae.